This is a non-coding RNA of Zootermopsis nevadensis, 2700 nucleotides long. Lineage: Eukaryota; Metazoa; Arthropoda; Insecta; Blattodea; Termopsidae. The record is from RefSeq and is a predicted model, not a curated record.
UGUUUAUGUGGGUAUAUGACUUUCACUGAAAUUGUCAUAAAAUGAAAUAAAUAUUUGUUUUAGUUCAAGUGAAACUAAUGUUUUAUAGUACAUACUGCUUUUACUUUUUUCGGUGUAGAAUUUCCAAUCCUUCAGUAAUGAAAUGCGGAAAGAAAUUGUAUGAUUUGACAGAAUGUUUUGUUUCAGGAUAAGGGACAACUUUUGUUUGAGGAUAAAUGGCCAGCUGUAAGACCAAUUAUCCUUCAAUUAUUGCAGCAGGAGCCAGUAAUGCAGACUGAAUGGCAAGAACUCAUUUAUUCUGUACAUUUGGUGUGCCUGUGGGAUGAGAAGGGACCACCAAAAGUUAAAGAUUCGCUGAAGAAUGACAAUGGAUUUUAUCAAAAAAGCUCAACAGCGAGUACUGUCACAUCAGGAGGAUCAAGCACUUCUUAAGGCUUAUAUUGCAGAAUGGAGGAAGUUCUUCAUACAGUGUAACUACUUACCAACUCCCUUCAGACAGCUGGAAACAUCUCUCGCAGGAAAGACCAUCUCUGUUGAAAAGAAAGCUCAAAAAGUGACAAAGAGAUGUUACUUUGGUGAUGGAGGCAACAAGGACCUCUGGAAUGUUGGUAAACUUCUACCACACCACGUGCAACCCAGAAGGCAGGCAUCUUCACUAAUUAAAGUGGUUUUUAAGUGUCAUAAAAUUAUAUGAAUUUAUUGCAUAUAUUUUCAAAAAUUUACAAUAUAAGGUAAAAAUGUUAUAUCUGAUAACAUUCUAGUUGUUUUUAUGGUCUUUAUUGGGUAUACAUUUCCUGAGAAAAGCAGGCAAUUACAUUUAUAUAAGAACAUUAUCAUGAGAGACAACUACAUUAUUAGAAAGGUUUUUCUUUUCUAUAUCAUCCAGGUGCAAUACAUGUCUUGAAAGAGUUUGUUGUGUUGAAUGUAUAGGGAAACUAAAAUAAAGGAGAGGUUUAUAUUUUAAAUUGAUAAAAUUCAAUUUUACAAUGACAGAGUACUGAAACAUUUCUUCAGUGUUUCAGGUUAUAUCCCAGAAUUAAUUGUAAUUAUCAUAUUUUUGAAGAGAUUAGUUUGAUUUUUAUAGAAAUAGCACACACAGAGAAGUUAAGUAAGUGUUCAUGUUUCAUCACCAGAAUUUAGGGCUAAAUUUCAGGUACUGUGGCAUGAUAUGAAACACAAGUUACUUUCAAGAUUAAAUUAAGAGCAGAUUGAAUUCAGGGGAAUGUUUGCUUCACUCUUUUGUCUUCCUGCAUCCAAUCUGAAAUCCUAAGAUUAAUGUGUAAAAGCUAUAAUUUUACUUUUCUUUUUUGUGGAUGUGAAAUCUGGUCUCCCAACCUAAUGGAAGACCAUAGAUGAAGGCGUUUGGAAAGAAAGUCAUGGGGAGAAUACUUGUACCUAAAGGGUAGGAAGGAGCAAGAGGGUUGAAAGUGUUAUAUAAUCAGGUGCCUUGUAAUUUGUGCUCUUCACCAAAUAUUAUUAGGAUAGUCAAAUAAGAGACGAUUAAAUUAGCAGGAAGUAGCGUGUGUGUGAAGGAUGUGAAAUGCAUACACAGUUCUAGCCAGCAAAGUGCAGGGAAGGGACCACAUGGUAGACCUAAACAUAGGUGGUAAGAUAAUAGUAAAAUGGAUCUUCAAGGAAUAGGGUGUAAACUGGAUUUUCUUGACUGAGGAUCAUGUAAAAUUACAAGCUGUUAUAAACACAGUAAUAAACCUUAUCAUUCCACAAGAAGCGAGCAGAUUCUUGAUGCUGCAUUGAGAAGGUACAUAGUUGAACAGAUUAUUUUUUACUGCUGUAAUUGUUAUAUUCUUGUUUUAGUUGAUGUUGGACAGCUGGAAUCAAAGCAUAUUUUGUGACAUUAAGCAGCGAUUGCAGGACUCUGUCAUGAAGUUGGUGCAUGCAGAGAAUGGAGAAGCGUUUGAUUCACAGUUGGUUAUUGGAGUCAGGGAAUCUUAUGGUAAUUAAUAGUGGUUUUAAACAUUUAUACUUUUUGAUAAAUGGUAUUGCUCCUUAAAGGCAGCAUGGUUUGAUAAAUAUUUUAGUGCAUAUAUGGGCACUUAAGGGUGGGCUUGUAACUCUGGGAGCUUUUGUGGAUAUUGUUUAUGCAUUUGACAGUAGCACCUCCUGAGUUCAUAGCUAAGAGCAUAGGGUGGAGUGAGGUGUGGUCAUAUGUAGUGAUGAAAAUAAACCUUUAAGGAACAUUUAUAUGUGAUGCAGAUUUUCCUAACAUUAUUAAAAUUAUAAGGAGUGCAUGUUUCUUCUUCUUCUUCCUCCCCACUGCCAGCAAUAAGAAAGAAAGCUUGUAUGGAAGCAACGGAAGCAUUCUAUAAAAUGAAAGCACCUCAGUAUCUUCAAACAAAUGGUGUUUAAAAGUACAUGAAAUAUGCUGAUACCAAACUUAGGGAAGAAGAGUAGCGUGCACAGAAGUAUCUUGAAUCAUGUAGUGGAUCAGUGCAAGUUGUAAGUACAUUACGCAAUUUACAUGAAGAUCAAUGAUUAUUGGAUAUGUGGUACACAAUAUCAAUAUACUGUUGUGAUAGAAUUUUUGUUACGCAUUUUCAGCUGUCUGAUUAACAGUAUCAAAAUGUGUAGGCAGCAUUCCACAAGUUGAGUUUGUCUGUGUUCUUAUAGAAGGUGUGGUGAUAAGGAAUAGAUUUAUGUAAUGUAUUAAUACUUUUAUGUUGUCUCUGAAUAUGGAGAAGG